GAUCACAAUAAAGUAAAUUCUUUUCAAGGUACCAGUGUUGAGAAACAUCUGAGCAGUUGCAAUCAAGGGAUUUGUAAUUCAUCUUCAGUCAACCAAUCUCUCAAGUCUGGACAUGUUUGUUCUCAACAAUGGAGAGGUAGAAAAGUCCGAGAAGGAAAAUCUAGGAUGAAAAAGGCUUGUUUAGCUCCGGAUGAUGGUAAACUUUUUGUUGAGAAUUUGAUUGGUUCCGGAAUCAAAGUCUGGUGUGCAGAAGAACAUGCGUCCUAUGAAGGUGAUAUAGUUUCUUAUGAUCCUAUAGAGAAGAAACAUAAGGUGAGAAUCAUAAAGGUUCCGUCGUGCCUUUUUCUUCUCUCUAGAUAAUGCGAUCACAGGC
Ricinus communis (castor bean) is the source of this 373-nucleotide long non-coding RNA. RefSeq lists it as uncharacterized. The transcript is spliced from 4 exons. The record is from RefSeq and is a predicted model, not a curated record. Lineage: Eukaryota; Viridiplantae; Streptophyta; Magnoliopsida; Malpighiales; Euphorbiaceae.